GCUGCUUGGGGUUUGGGGUGCAGACAUUGCCAGAGGAUGGGCAGCAGACUGACCUUCAACCCCACAG
Molecule: microRNA precursor, 67 nt
Organism: Gorilla gorilla gorilla (western lowland gorilla)
Lineage: Eukaryota; Metazoa; Chordata; Mammalia; Primates; Hominidae
Source: Ensembl